CCUACGGGAGGCAGCAGUGGGGAAUAUUGGACAAUGGACCAAAAGUCUGAUCCAGCAAUUCUGUGUGCACGAUGACGUUUUUCGGAAUGUAAAGUGCUUUCAGUUGGGAAGAAAAAAAUGACGGUACCAACAGAAGAAGUGACGGCUAAAUACGUGCCAGCAGCCGCGGUAAUACGUAUGUCACAAGCGUUAUCCGGAUUUAUUGGGCGUAAAGCGCGUCUAGGUGGUUAUGUAAGUCUGAUGUGAAAAUGCAGGGCUCAACUCUGUAUUGCGUUGGAAACUGCAUGACUAGAGUACUGGGGAGGUAAGCGGAACUACAAGUGUAGAGGUGAAAUUCGUAGAUAUUUGUAGGAAUGCCGAUGGGGAAGCCAGCUUACUGGACAGAUACUGACGCUAAAGCGCGAAAGCGUGGGUAGCAAACAGGAUUAGAUACCCCUGUAGUC
RNAcentral lists this ribosomal RNA (443 nucleotides) under uncultured Fusobacterium sp. RNAcentral's name for it is "bacterial SSU rRNA". It matches the Rfam family "Bacterial small subunit ribosomal RNA", at positions 338 to 795 of the family's 1533-position model. The record is from RNAcentral. Lineage: Bacteria; Fusobacteriati; Fusobacteriota; Fusobacteriia; Fusobacteriales; Fusobacteriaceae.